CUUGACAUCCAGAGAAUUUAGCAGAGAUGCUUUAGUGCCUUCGGGAACUCUGAGACAGGUGCUGCAUGGCUGUCGUCAGCUCGUGUUGUGAAAUGUUGGGUUAAGUCCCGCAACGAGCGCAACCCUUAUCCUUUGUUGCCAGCACGUAAUGGUGGGAACUCAAAGGAGACUGCCGGUGAUAAACCGGAGGAAGGUGGGGAUGACGUCAAGUCACCAUGGCCCUUACGAGUAGGGCUACACACGUGCUACAAUGGCGUAUACAAAGAGAAGCGACCUCGCGAGAGCAAGCGGACCUCAUAAAGUGCGUCGUAGUCCGGAUUGGAGUCUGCAACUCGACUCCAUGAAGUCGGAAUCGCUAGUAAUCGUAAAUCAGAAUGUUACGGUGAAUACGUUCCCGGGCCUUGUACACACCGCCCGUCACACCAUGGGAGUGGGUUGCAAAAGAAGUAGAUAGCUUAACCUUCGGGAGGGCGUUUACCACUUUGUGAUUCAUGACUGGGGUGAAGUCGUAACAAGGUAAGCGUAGUGCU
This 530-nucleotide ribosomal RNA is filed under the name uncultured bacterium. RNAcentral describes it as "bacterial SSU rRNA". It matches the Rfam family "Bacterial small subunit ribosomal RNA", at positions 980 to 1509 of the family's 1533-position model. The record is from RNAcentral.